GGACCCGUAGUGUAAUUGGAUGCACUUCCCAUAUAACUCUAUCCACCCUCGAGCGGGACGGUAUAGGUUCGAGUCCUAUCGGGGCCG
Molecule: non-coding RNA, 87 nt
Organism: Orbilia javanica
Lineage: Eukaryota; Fungi; Ascomycota; Orbiliomycetes; Orbiliales; Orbiliaceae
Source: the annotation of a GenBank genome assembly